This is a non-coding RNA of Lolium perenne, 5147 nucleotides long. The record is from RefSeq and is a predicted model, not a curated record. Lineage: Eukaryota; Viridiplantae; Streptophyta; Magnoliopsida; Poales; Poaceae.
AUUGGAUUUAGUUCAGCCCGGUCAAAGCGGCGUGCAGUUCUAGCUAUCUCUCUUCUAUCCGCGUGUCGCUUGGCCGUUCCUCCUCUUUCUCGCUCCUCGCCCCUUCUCCUUCUCCAAGUGCAGCAGGUCGCCGGGCGGUCGAUGACACGACGGCGUCGACUGGAUCAGGGCUCGAUGAAUCGUGGCUGAUCUACCCUUCAAUUUGAAGGCCAACAACUCGAUCCUUGAUCUCGCCUCUGAUCCGUUUCGGCUGGACCGCUUGGGAGAUUAAAAUCGUGUCCGGCGUGUCCUCCUGCUGCCUACCGGCAUACCUAGGCCCUUUCCAUUGGUCCGCCUUGCGUCUGCUGCAGCGGGGCUGGACACAGCGACGUGUCCACUGGCAGCUUCAGCCUUCAUGAGACCGAAUUUUUUCGUCACCAGCCGGGCCUUACCUCAUCAGUUUGAUAGUUCCAACCGCUAUUGUUCUGGAAGCCGUAUUCAGUCGACUUCAGGUUUUAGACUCUCAAGAUCACGGUCCACUUCACAGCAUCGGUAAGUGAUCAAGCUUCUCAAGUAGUGCUGCCUGAUUCCUCUUCCAUCCUUUUUAUCUGUGUCUCUUUUUCAACUUUUUUCUUCAUUGGAAGAACCAGCCUGCACUGGUGCUGCUGGGAACCUGAAGUGCCGGGUGGUAUUACCAGUCAGAUGCACCACUGCCUCCUUAAUUGUCUCCCUUUCUCCCCUUUCUUGUGUCAUUUGUGUGGCCAGCAAGAUCUCCUGGUUUUUUUUUACCUUUUUACUCUCUUAUUUGGUUUGGUGUUUCGUUAACUGAAGUCUCAUUUUCUCUUCUUAACUAAAAACAUGCUUUGCCAAUAAAAAGAAUGGAUGCAAUGAAAGAGCUGGUGCUACCAAUGAAGUCCAACUUCCUUCCAUGACAUAAUGAUCUCAUCAAUCAUGAUGAAUUUAGUUACUUCCUCUACAGGCAUAAAAUAAAUUGGCAGGUUUGAUGUCCAUUCAAAUAUUCAAUACUAAUUGCACGACCGAUAAGCUACAGGAGAUUUCAAAAUAUCGUUCUGCAUAUGUUCCUUACAUUUUUUUUCCGUUGUGAUAUGAUGCACUCUAGGUCUACCACAAUGCAGACUAUUUUCCAUUGUCAUAUCGUGGAUGAGCUAUCAUUUCCUAUUGAAAUACCUUCACAGCAAAAACUGCGGAAUGAUUCCUACUCUUAUUCGAAAAGAUGCAUGACGUCCAAUGCCAUUAAAGUUGUACGCUGCAUUCUAUUUUCACCGCCAUACUCAUAUUAAAAUUGCUGGCCUUUAGAAAAUUUGUUUAUUACCAAGACAGUAUUUAGCAAAGAAAGUAAGAGAUGUAUUUUAUUUUAAUCAUUGUUAUCAUCUGCACUUAAAGCAUCGAUCGUUGCAGCAUCAAGAAAUGGUAUAGGUAAUAGUUGGGUGGACCAUAAGUCGACAGCAAUCUACAUAUGCAGCUACGGAGCUAAGACUCUAAAAAUAACGAGCUAAUCCCUUACUUUGCAGGUAUAUUGAAAACCAAGGUGUAAAUGUAUUGGCUGGUAUUGAUGUUGCUUUCCAUAAUGUAUUUUAUUUUAAUCAUUGUUAUCAUCUGCACUUAAAGCAUCGACCGUUGCAGCAUCAAGAAAUGGUAUAGGUAUAUUGAAAACCAAGGUGUAAAUGUAUUGGCUGGUAUUGAUAUUCCAUUUUGCUCAGUGAUGUAUAUUAAAGAUAGGCAAAACUUAAUCCCAGGCACACUUCAGUUGGUUGGCAUUUGCCUACUGAAAAUGGAGUUUGGAUGACAUGUUCACCAUCUCAUAACAUGUGUUAAUUUCAGAGAUGGAGUUAGCGAAAGAAUGUUUCUCGGGGCUAGAACGUCAAGCUUGAACAAAGCCGGCAAGGUUUAACAAAUCAGUAAGGCAGUGUAUUUAUUUUAUUUCGCCAUGUUCUAUUAUUUAUACAAUAGAGGUGGCUAUACAGUAAUGCAGGUAGAGUUCCUCGACGAGAAGUGGGAGCCUAAGCUAUCACUCAUUGUUUCCCAGAAAAACAAUCAUGCCAGAUUCCUUGAGACUCGACCUUCAGAGAAUAUUCCUUCCAGUAAAUUUCAUUUUGACCUAUGGGCAGUGCAGUCUAAGUCUUUUUUUUAUGGAGUGGACCAUCCCAACAAUUUCAAUUUCAUACAUGUGUGCAUACGCUCGCUUGAUUGCAAGUAAUCUUUGCUCUGUUUUCUGUUCAUCAAGUACGAGUUCAUUGGGGCUUAUUGUGAUUGUCCGUGCCAGGGAACACCAAGGUAAACAUAUUACCAUCUUUUGCAUGACGAGAUUAAUGUUCUGUUCUCUUCUCAAAUAGCUUCUAAGCUUCUUGGUUCAUAUGUUAAAACCUGUAUGGGCAUUCGACAUGAAUUCUUCCAGGAGUCAUGUAAAUAUGUCGAUUACAAAUAUGCUUGCUGAAACAAGAGGUUCUAGGUCUCUAAUGGCAUCAAAGAGUAACAUCAGGUUGAUAAGACUGCUGUUACGAUUUGCAGACCAUCAUAUUCUGUACAUACCUAUCCUCUUCAUCUCAGAAUUUCUAUGUAUUAGUUGGUGUCUUUUGUAUGCAAAAUUCUGCGCUACUCUUUUUUCUGUAGUAUCACUUUUUGAAUUGUUCCUGGGUGCUAUUAGAUGACAUGGAAUUUUUUUCUCAAAUUUCACUGACCACUUCAACAGUUGUUUUCCCCUUUUCUUGAUAGGAUCGAUAACCUUUUAGAUUGGUGCAGCUAUUUUUUCUUUGUUUUCCUUUAUAGUUUACCUGAUUCUACUAUUCAAAGAGAUGGGAUUCCAUGUCAACCAAGCUUAAACAAUUGAUUUAUGUUUAUUUUUCACCUCUAUUUCUGAUUUUUCAUCUAGCGGUAAAUUUGUUGGUUGAUGAUAUACAAAAAGAGGGCAUGCUCUUGCUUCUUCGGUUUCCAAUGUAUUAUCCAACAUUUUAAAUUUUGUGAAGACCCCCAUCACACACUACUACUGUUUAUUGCAUAUACCAGAGGCAUUCUACCCUAUUGGCAUAUUAGUUUUGUACCCUGCAAUUUAUUUGGUUACAUUAAACUACAGCUUUAGGUUUGAGAUUUUUGUAGCAACUCAUUUUCUUUCACACAAGGGCCUACCAAAACCUGAAACUAAAUGGAACAAGCAUAAGCCUACCUUUUUAAAGUAGCAUUUUUAUUAGGAUAUAUGUCAGAAAAAACAAUGCAUAAAGAAUUGUGGUUCAUGAAAAUGCAGAUAUUUUUUCUAACCUUGGGAAAAGAUAUAUAAAGAUAAUACACCUGAAAGGCUAUUAUGUAAUACUGCUAUAACGGAAAAGGAUAAUUGUUUAUUGACAUAUACAGAAACAUAUAUGGUACAGUAAAGGUUUUGAGCUUUGAUACACACCUGAAGGUGUGGGUGGCAUAUAGAUGUUUAUUUUGAUGAGUUAGCAUGCUGUCAUUUCUAGGCUGGCGAUUAUCUGGGUUUUUGUGGAGACGGUUGAACCAGAUGUGCCAAUAUUAAAACCGUUCCAUGUGAUGGUGCUAUUAUUUUAUACUUGAUUAUCUUCUCAGAGCUAUACAAGGCAAAUCGCAUGCUUUUAAGGUGCCAAAUGAGCUUAGGUAUAGAGAGUUGGGACAUCUACUUUUUCCUAAUUACCGGUUUUUAAUUAUAUACUUUUACUAUCUUUCACCAGUUGCAAUCUUGCAGGAUUCAAUGGACAUUGGAUGGAAAUUGAGCAAUAUCAUGUGGACAAGUUCUAUAUAUGGUGACUUAUCGAAGUGAAUCAAGAAAUACUGUUCUGAUUAGGUUCAAUUGUUGGGUUUUCGUUUUGUUUUUUUCUAGAGUAUAUUUUGUCAUUGUUUCAUCUAACAGGUGUCAUUCAACUGGAUAAAGAUACCAACAGAUGGACAGUUCUAUAUUCCUAUCUCAGGACUAACAUCAACGAAAGCUGUGAAAAUACUUUUUUUUGCGAAUGAAGGUGUGAAAAUACUUGCAAUAGAUGAGGGCGGUGUACCCGUACCAUCUACUCGGUGGAGAAUGGCGAGGCGGGAGGCAGCAAUGGCGCAUGGGAUGGGCUGAAGCUGGCCGUCAGACUACCUCGAUCUGCUCCGGCUCUCCAUCUUCCACCGUGCCAUUCCUCUUCAUUCUACAACAAGAUGGUGUUCUCUGGCCAGGCUGUUCGCUUUACAGGUGUGACCUUCACUGGUAGACUUACGGAUUCACUGCUUACGGAAACACCUACGGACUGAUGUGGAAGAAAUCGGUUGGCUCAGUUUGCUUUCCUUGCUUAAAAAUCGGAAAAAACCACCCUGCCUGCUGUGUACAUGAUGAGUCUGAGUCCAACGUCAAUAAUCUCUGGAUAAAGAGAAUGGAGAGUUCAGACGGAAAGACAAGAAUCAAGCUUUAUAGGUAUGAUUGACAAGCAUAAAAUCCAGUAAAAUGAAGAGUUUAGAUGGAGAGAAAAGAAUCAAGCUCUAUAGUGAGGAGAAGCAGCACAUCAUCAGAAACAAAGGCAACAAGCCAAAAACACAUGCUCAUGUUUCUCUUCCUCGCUAAAAGAACCGGUUGAUGAUGCGGCCAUGCAUGUGGAGAGGCAACAGAGGCUCCACCAUCGUUGUGGCCGCCUUUGCCGAGAAGCGACAGGACGGGUGGGGGCGCCGCUACCAUCGCCAAAGAUGUCGCGGUGGCGCAUUUAGCUCUGCUUCUGACUCUUUGGCUUCAUGGCUCGGCUGAUGUGAGGCCCCAUUCCCCGAGCAACGGCUGCAGGGCGGACAAGGUCAGAAAGACAUGGCAGUGGUCACGAAUAGAAGGUGCAGACCAUGGGGAGCAUCGUAAUGUUCUUGCAUGCGUCGAUUCAUGGCUCCGGCGGUCGGAAUUGAGGAGCAGAAGCAACGGCGGUAGCGUCACGGGAGAACAAGGAAAAGGAGAUCUGAUGUGGGUGCUAGAGUGUUCUGGAUGCAUGCGUGUGUGGAGUCAAAAUGACAGAUUAGGACUGUCGUACCUGCGCGUAUGAUGCAUACAUUGUUGUAUGCUUUUUGUUUCUUUAAUUAGUUAAUAAUGUAAUAAAAUCAAAACUAUAAUUCAAACAAAGGGGUAAUGAGUUACUUACAGAAAUAUGAGAAAACUACCCCGAUGAAUUUUUAUAGACAUUAUUUCCAACAAA